AUUGAACGCUGGCGGCAGGCCUAACACAUGCAAGUCGAACGAGUGGCGGACGGGUGAGUAAUGUCGGGGAAACUGCCUGAUGGAGGGGGAUAACGACUGGAAACGGUAGCUAAUACCGCAUACCAUCAGAUGGGCCCAGAUGGGAUUAGCUUGUUGGUGGGGUAACGGCUCACCAAGGCGACGAUCCCUAGCAGGUCUGAGAGGAUGAUCAGCCACACUGGAACUGAGACACGGUCCAGACUCCUACGGGAGGCAGCAGUGGGGAAUAUUGCACAAUGGGCGAAAGCCUGAUCCAGCAAUGCCGCGUGUAUGAAGAAGGCUUUCGGGUUGUAAAGUUCUUUCAGCGGGGAGGCGUUACCCGCAGAAGAAGCCCCGGCUAACUCCGUGCCAGCAGCCGCGGUAAUUC
RNAcentral lists this ribosomal RNA (406 nucleotides) under uncultured bacterium. Its description in RNAcentral is "partial 16S ribosomal RNA". It matches the Rfam family "Bacterial small subunit ribosomal RNA", at positions 30 to 526 of the family's 1533-position model. The record is from RNAcentral.